This 433-nucleotide ribosomal RNA is filed under the name uncultured bacterium. RNAcentral describes it as "partial 16S ribosomal RNA". It matches the Rfam family "Bacterial small subunit ribosomal RNA", at positions 29 to 507 of the family's 1533-position model. The record is from RNAcentral.
AACGAACGCUGGCGGCAUGCCUAACACAUGCAAGUCGAACGAGACCUUCGGGUCUAGUGGCGCACGGGUGCGUACCGCGUGGGAACCUGCCCUUAGGUUCGGAAUACCUCCCCGAAAGGGGUGCUAAUACCGGAUAAUGUCUUCGGGCCAAAGAUUUAUCGCCUUUGGAUGGGCCCGCGUUGGAUUAGCUAGUUGGUAGGGGAAAAGCCUACCAAGGCGACGAUCCAGAGCUGGUCUGAGAGGAUGAUCAGCCACACUGGGACUGAGACACGGACCAGACUGCUACGGGAGGCAGCAGUGGGGAGUAUUGGACAAUGGGCGAAAGUGUAAUCCAGCAAUGCCGCGGGAGUGAUGAAGGGCUUAGGGUUGUAAAGCUCUUUUACCCGGGAUGAUAAUGACAGUACCGGGAGAAUAAGCACCGGCUAACUCCGUG